RNAcentral lists this ribosomal RNA (180 nucleotides) under uncultured soil bacterium. RNAcentral's name for it is "partial 16S ribosomal RNA". It matches the Rfam family "Bacterial small subunit ribosomal RNA", at positions 26 to 216 of the family's 1533-position model. The record is from RNAcentral.
AGCCUGAACGCUGGCGGCGUGGCUAAGACAUGCAAGCCGCACGGGGUAGCAAUACCCAGUGGCGAACGGGAGAGUAAUGAAUCGCUAACGUACCCCGGACUCUGGGAUAGCUAUCCGAAAGGGUAGGUAAUACCAGUAUAAUAUAACCGACAGGCAUCUGUUGGUUCUCAAAGGUCCGCC